Oncorhynchus gorbuscha (pink salmon) is the source of this 5902-nucleotide RNA transcript. It is a transcript of the gene named septin-6, with no coding region annotated. The record is from RefSeq and is a predicted model, not a curated record. The transcript has 11 exons. NCBI's taxonomy places the organism in Eukaryota, Metazoa, Chordata, Actinopteri, Salmoniformes, Salmonidae.
AAGUGACGUCGUUGUUAGUGUUGCUAGCAGAGUGGUAGUGCAGCUUCCUACAUAGGGUCUUCAUAAAAAAAUAACCAUGGCGGCCACUGAAAUAGCUAGGCAAGCGGGAGAAGGUGCUCGUGCCGUCCCUCUAGCCGGCCAUGUCGGCUUUGAUAGCAUGCCCGACCAGCUGGUCAACAAGUCUGUCAACCACGGCUUCUGCUUCAACAUCCUCUGUGUCGGGGAAACGGGCCUGGGCAAGUCCACUCUUAUGGACACCCUGUUCAACACCAAGUUCGAGGGCGAGCCCACCCAGCACAACCAGCCGGGCGUGCAGCUCAAGUCCAACACAUACGAGCUCCAAGAGAGCAACGUGCGCCUCAAGCUGACCGUGGUCAACACUGUGGGCUUUGGAGACCAGAUCAACAAAGAGGACAGCUACAAGUCCAUUGUUGAGUUUAUCGACACCCAGUUCGAGGCCUAUCUGCAGGAGGAGCUGAAAAUCAAGCGCACGCUACACAGCUACCACGACACACGCAUCCACGCCUGCCUGUACUUCAUUGCGCCCACCGGACACUCCCUCAAGUCCCUGGACCUGGUAACUAUGAAGAAACUGGACAGCAAGGUCAACAUCAUCCCCAUCAUUGCCAAGUCAGAUGCCAUCUCCAAGAGCGAGCUGACCAAGUUCAAGAUCAAGAUCACCAGUGAGCUGGUCAGCAACGGCGUUCAGAUCUACCAGUUCCCCACCGACGACGAGACGGUGGCAGAGAUCAACUCCACCAUGAACGGCCAUUUGCCAUUCGCCGUUGUGGGAAGCACGGAGGAAGUAAAGAUCGGCAACAAGAUGGUGAAAGCGAGGCAGUACCCCUGGGGAACAGUGCAGGUGGAGAAUGAGAACCACUGUGACUUUGUGAAGCUGCGGGAGAUGCUGAUCCGGGUAAACAUGGAGGACCUGCGGGAGCAGACACACACGCGCCACUAUGAGCUCUACCGCCGCUGCAAGCUGGAGGAGAUGGGAUUCAAGGACACUGACCCCGACUGCAAACCCUUCAGUCUGCAGGAGACGUACGAGGCCAAGAGGAACGAGUUCAUGGGUGACCUGCAGAAGAAGGAGGAGGAGAUGAGGCAGAUGUUCGUCCAGAGAGUCAAGGAGAAGGAAGCUGAACUGAAGGAGGCCGAGAAAGAGCUGCACGAGAAGUUUGACCGGCUCAAGAAGCUGCACCAGGAUGAGAAGAAGAAGCUGGAGGACAAGAAGAAAUCCCUGGAUGACGAGCUCAACGGCUUCAAGCAGAAAAAGACGGCCGCCGAGCUCCUACAGUCCCAGGCCCAGCAGGCAGGGGGCUCCACCACACUCAAGAGGGACAAGGAGAGGAAAAAUAUCAGGCUGCAGUAGGAGGGCCGUGUUGGCAGUUAGAGGUUGUUGUCGUGGGUCCCUUCAUGUUGGUAAUCACUCCUGGUUGUCUAUCCAAACUGAUGUGAGCCCUGCCACCUGCCCUGUUAGAAAGGAUGAAGACACUUGCACUGAGAGUUCAGGAUUCCUGUAGAAAAGUGCUUCCUCCCUCAGCCAGCUGUGAAUGAGUUUUCACCCCAUCCUUGGCAGUGCCAUGCUGUUCUUUGUGCCCCCCCCCCCCUUCACAAGUCAUCAUUCUGCAUUUGCCUGUUUUUUAAAAAGUUUUUAUGUUGGAAGGUAGACCUUCUCUUUUUGUUUGUUAGCCUGUUUCCGCACGACUGAGUGUGCUUUUAACUUUAACAUACGCAACUACUGUUUUGACCGGCAGGAGUUUGUGGAGGCUAAGGUGAAACGCACAUCCGCUAUGUUUUGACCAAGCGUGUGUGUGUGUGUGUGUGUGUGUGUGUGUGUGUGUGUGUGUGUGUGUGUGUGUGUGUGUGUGUGUGUGUGUGUGUGUGUGUGUGUGUGUGUGUGUGUGUGUGUGUGUGUGUGUGUGUGUGUGUGUGUGUGUGUGUGUGUGUGUGGCAUGUAGUCUGUGCUCAUUGCAUAUACUUGGCAGGGGCAGCAUAUUCACGUCCAUGUUUCAUACUACCACUAUUCUACUCACUCCACUAAACCACUCCAGUAGUUUGAGAUAAUGAAGAUGUACACUGAUAUCGUAUUGGCAAACAAUGCAUAAUUAUUUAAAAUGAAGACACAACCGUAGUACGUUUCUAAAUGAAGGCAUGUUGUCCACCGCCCAUCAAGAGUAGCCUGGUCCCAGAUCUGUUUGUACUUUUGCCUACUCCAAACAUUGCAUGACUAUCAGUUACAGGAAGUUGGAAUGAUAGCCUCGGAGCCAGUUUGUUUGCGCUAUCAAGACAGUGAGUGUUAAUAGUGAACUGCUGAUGUUAUUUCAUCUUAGCCUGGUGCAUGUGAAGACAUUCAUGCUUUCUCGCCAUCUCUUUGCCAUACCUCAUUGUUUUUAAUAUACUUUGUUAUCUGCAUACUUGUUAGCUUUUGACAUUUUACACAAAUAUGAUUUUGUGUAUUUCUAUUGCAAUUGGGACUUUUUUAUGUAUAUUUUUUCCAUUUAAUCCAUUUAAACAAAAAAAACAAUCAUGUAGGGAUCAGUAUUACACUUGUAUCAGUGUUACACAAAAAUACUUCAUAUCCAAAGGAAAUAAAGCGUGAAUUUCACCAAAUAUUUCAACUGUGGCCACGAUUAUUGUGUAUGAAAUGUAUAAUCAAUCAGUAUUUUAAACACAAGUGUGUGAGUGGGUUCUGCAAAUGUGAGGAUAUAAGGGUUUCAAAUAGAUUCUGAUUACAGUUGGAAACACUUGGUUUGCUCUAGAUGUUUAACUCCUUCAAGGGCUUUGAGAUAUCCCGCCAUUGUUAUUGUCAAAACGACUCUCCUUACAGAGCAAAAUUGUCUGCAAACCUGAAUUCAUAGGGCUGGAUCCUAACUUGGACUUUCUUAUUAAUCAUGCCUUGAAGUCAGUAGAACACUUGCAUGAGCAUUUAAGUUGGGUGCAUAAAUGUCAUGUUAGUAUUCAGCCAGCACUGCUUUUGUCUGAACAGACUGAGCCAGUAGUCAUUCUCCAUUCCUCCUAGAGAAACAGGAUUGGAACACUCCAUUGUUUGGCAGAUGAGUGUGAGCGCCAGUGAGAUUGUUGGUUUUUAAUUUCAACUCCACUUCCUUCUCAUCUGUAUCUUGAGGACAGGGUGUUGUUUAUCAGGAAAAUACUUCUAAGAACCCCCACACCACCCUCCGAAAAUAUGUCUUGUGUCCUUGCUCAAUAUAACCCACAUGCCUUUGUACGGUGACACAGGUCAGACAGUUGGUCUGAUGAGUCAAAUGUCCACAGAUGUAGGUAUUUUGUUUUCGUCUAAAUGUAUCGAAAUGAGUCGCUUACGUACUUACACAUUCUUGUACAGUGGUGUAGUAGGUGUGGUUUACAACUUCUCACAAUCCCUUCUCAAAUUGCUCUUUGUCUCAAUGUCUCUGGGUGAACUGUUGUCCUAAGCUCUAUGGGUUGGCAGGGUGUGCCUUGGUGUGUGGUCAUUCAUACAUACUGUGCUUUAGUUCCUCUGCUCACUGCUCUGUGUGUAUUUACCUUUCCUUUGCAGUAAACCCUGGCUCUGCACUGAGUAGGUGCUUCCACCCUCAAGCUUUGCUAAGGGACCAGGCUUUGUGGGUAGCGGGUACCCCAAGGCUGAGGAGAGGCAUUGUGAACCCACCCUUCUGGGUUUAAAAAAAAAAAAAAACAUUCAUCUGCUUCAUGUAUUAACAAAAGUAUACCCCUAUCUGUAUUUCAUUGCUGCUCUAUGUGCUGACUCUGUGGCUAAAUCUGUCUUUUGUGUAUGGUUAUGCUUUCUUGUCAUGUCGUGUUUUUGCUGUGCUGACUGACUAAUAUCACCAUUUGCUUUUUGCUUCUGUUGGGAUAGAUAUUUUCUGGACUGUUUUUGUUGUGCACUUCUUGGUAGUUUUCCCAUCAUUAUUAGGUUUAAGAUUGUCUGUUUUGAUUUAUUAACUGACACUGAAUACCUUUUUAAAAAAUGUACAGAGGACAUAAUAUCUGCUGCAAGCAGUUCUCACAAGCAAUUUAUUCAAUGUUUUAAAUCCGUAUUAUGCUCAAAUUGAAUUGGUCAGCUCAAGUACUGUAGUAUUUUAUUAUGAGUAGUUAUUUUUAGCUUACCACACAGACAUUGCAUUUGUAACAGAGUUAGUGUCAUUUGAAGUACAGUAGCAACUAUACAUGCGUUAGGAAAACCCAAAUACGUACGGUCUUCCCUCCCCAAAAUGUCAGUAAUCCUUCUGGUAGGCACUGUUGCUCUACCUGACUGCUUGGGCAUCUCUUGUAACCUUGCAUUUGUCUCCUUUCUCUCUAGCUUCUUUUAAUCUGUCUUGGCCACCUGUCUGAAGAGGGGAUUGCAGCUUCAACAAGAACUAAGCACCCAUUUCCUCUUCCUGUCUUUUCUCACUGCAUCAACCUUUUUUUAACCUCCAUCUCAUCUGCUUUGUUGAACAUGGCCGUAUGUGGACUUCACAUGGUAUUUUUUGGAUAGUUUACCUUUUGCCACCUAAUCAAGGUACAAUUUGGCAAGUGGGAGUCCUUCACUGAUAAUAUUUUGCAGAUCUGUCUUGGUGUAUGAAUGAACAAAGCUUUGUUCAGGUGCUCAGGUAGGAUUCUAAACAGUUGUUCAAGAGAAAAACAUCAAACCAAUAGUUUCAUCAUACCAUUUCUGGCAGAGUCAAGGCUCUGGAUUAAUUUAUAUUUUGCAUAAAACUAUCAGAACUUAAUUGACAGUACAUUUUAAGAAGGUCUAUGUAAUAACGUUCAAUCAUAUAUUCAGUCCAUUUUGAGAAGGACUCUGUUUUGAAAUAACCAUUACAAAUAGCCUAUUAUUAAUGUGCUCAUCGUUCAAAGGGGGGGGUUAUGAUUUUUAUUUAUUUAACUAGGCAAGUCCGUUAAGAACAAAUUCUUAUUUACAAUGACGGCCUACCCCGGCCAUAGCCUAACCCGGACGACGCUGGGCCAAUUGUGCCUCCCUAUGGGACUCCCAAUCACAGCCAAUUGUGAUACAGCCUGGAAUUGAACCAGGGUCUGUAGUGACACCUCUAGCACUGAGAUGCAGGGCCUUAGACUGCUGCACCACUCGGGAGCCCCUAUGAAUACAAAUAGCACAACCCAGAUCUCAAUAAAGCACUAAAUUCGCCAUAUUUAUUUGGUGAUUGAUAGUGCGACGUCUUACACUGCGUCUGAGUAGUAGAAACUUUUGUCAAUACGGAUUUAAAAACCAUAGGACAAUUGCGAUCCAAAUAAAUACAGUAUUCUUUGUUCACUGCAUAGGUUGUUUCAUUGGAACUCAGAAGAGCCAAAGACAUGUUCACGUCAAGCACUUAUUUAGUGAAAACACCUUUUCCAUACUGAAAUGCCAUGUAGGUCGCAUUUAAUGCCCUUUACGCAUUGUGCUUGAACUACCAUCAGUCUAUUCUGUAUUUUGCAUGUCUUUUUCUUUCAUCACCUCUGUGAUCUUGACCUUUUGCUCCCCAUUGUAGUUUUCUCCCCUAACAGUUUUGCACUCUUUCACAUUUGAUGCUCUAUUGUUUGGACCAGUUUUAUCUUGUGUAUUACUAGUUGUUAUGUGCAGUUAUACCCCUCUCCACAAUUUCUGGCACCCAUAUUGCCAAAUAUUACAAUGAGAUGGAGUUGAAUCCUAGAGACAGAUACUCAUGCAUUUGUAUAAUUUAUAAGGAUAUAUUUUGUGUAUGUAAGUGGAGACCUGUUUUAUGAAAUAUGAUCUUUGGAUGUGACUCUUCUCUCUGUGUAAAGUUACAUUUUGUUGUAAGAAAUUGCCAUACAUUUUUCUAGCAUCUGCCAUAAUCACCCCUCCUAGUCAAUUACCUGUCCACACCACAAAUUAAUGAUAAAAUAUGUGAUUGUAGUUUGAUUCCAUUUAUGUAAAUUUUCAAUAAAAUUAUGAUGAAAA